This 426-nucleotide ribosomal RNA is filed under the name uncultured prokaryote. RNAcentral's name for it is "bacterial SSU rRNA". It matches the Rfam family "Bacterial small subunit ribosomal RNA", at positions 355 to 774 of the family's 1533-position model. The record is from RNAcentral.
UCGAGAAUUUUUCACAAUGGGCGCAAGCCUGAUGGAGCGACGCCGCGUGGGGGAUGAAUGGCUUCGGCCCGUAAACCCCUGUCAUUUGCGAUCAACCGUUAUUAUUUAAAAGAUGAUAACCUGAUAGUAGCGAAAGAGGAAGGGACGGCUAACUCUGUGCCAGCAGCCGCGGUAAUACAGAGGUCCCAAGCGUUGUUCGGAUUCACUGGGCGUAAAGGGUGCGUAGGUGGCGGGGUAAGUCGGAUGUGAAAUCUCGGAGCUCAACUCCGAAAUGGCAUUGGAAACUACCCUGCUCGAGGAUUGGAGGGGGGACUGGAAUACUUGGUGUAGCAGUGAAAUGCGUAGAUAUCAAGUGGAACACCAGUGGCGAAGGCGAGUCCCUGGACAACUCCUGACACUGAGGCACGAAAGCUAGGGGAGCAAACA